Long non-coding RNA from Ctenopharyngodon idella (grass carp), 612 nucleotides. RefSeq lists it as uncharacterized. The transcript is spliced from 4 exons. The record is from RefSeq and is a predicted model, not a curated record. NCBI's taxonomy places the organism in Eukaryota, Metazoa, Chordata, Actinopteri, Cypriniformes, Xenocyprididae.
GUCCAGAUAAUGAUCGGAAUGACGGUUUUCUUAUUUGGUAUUGUACGCACCACUGAUGUCUACAAUUUCCCUGCUGUUUCUUUGUUUAGUGGAAUAACCUACUGGGGAUCCCUUGUUAACAUCAGUGCUGGAUCUCUGUCUGUUGCUGUGCAGAAUAAACUUCAUCCAUGUGUGAGGUAUGAUUUGGGGGUCCUUGGAAUAUUGCUGGUGUUCUCCAUACUUCAGUUCAUCAUCUCCAUCUGUAUCUCAGUAUUUGCCUGCAAAGCCACCAGCAACAACGUCUUCACAGGGGUCGAUGUGGCACUAAUUGGGGAUACUGAGUCACAGUGAGAAGAUCCUACCAUCCAAAGGUUGCAAGGAAUUAACCCUCUGGGUUCUGAGAGUAUUUUGGGGCCCUGGAGAAGUUUUGACAUGUCCUGACAUUUGUGCAUUUUUCAGGUGCUUAUAAACAUAUUAAUGGCAAAAGUGUCAUUAGACUAUAUUCAGCACAAAUUUGGCUAUCAUAAUAUGUGAGCAACAUGUAUGUAAAUAAUGUUUAUGCAUGGUUAUUGAAAAAAAAAAAAAAGUCACUGAAAUAAGGCCACAAAAUACACACUGAAUAUGUAUCCACAA